GAUGAAGAACGUAGCGAAAUGCGAUAAGUAAUGUGAAUUGCAGAAUUCAGUGAAUCAUCGAAUCUUUGAACGCACAUUGCGCCCGCCAGUAUUCUGGCGGGCAUGCCUGUUCGAGCGUCAUUUCAACCCUCAGGCCCCCAGUGCCUGGUGUUGGGGAUCGGCCCAGCCUUCCUGUAAGGCCGCCGGCCCCGAAAUCUAGUGGCGGUCUCGCUGUAGUCCUCCUCUGCGUAGUAGCACAGCCUCGCAGUUGGAACGCGGCGGUGGCCAUGCCAUUAAACACCCCACUUCUGAAAGUUGACCUCGGAUCAGGUAGGAAUACCCGCUGAACUUAAGCAUAUCAAUAAGCGGAGGA
This 352-nucleotide unclassified non-coding RNA is filed under the name soil metagenome. Its description in RNAcentral is "partial contains 5.8S ribosomal RNA, internal transcribed spacer 2, and large subunit ribosomal RNA". The stretch from base 1 to 120 matches the Rfam family "5.8S ribosomal RNA", at positions 35 to 154 of the family's 154-position model. The record is from RNAcentral.